AAGUCGUAACAAGGUUUCCGUAGGUGAACCUGCGGAAGGAUCAUUAUUGAAUAAACUUGAUCAGGUUGUUGCUGGCUCUACUGAGCAUGUGCACACUUGUCAUCUUUACUUUUCCCCACUGUGCACAUAUUGUAGGCCUGGAAUUCUUCUGAUUAUUUGUAUAGAUUGAGGACUGCUGUGCUUCAGCCAGCUUUUCCUUGGCUUUCCAGGUCUAUGUUUACCCUUACAACCUCUGAAUAUGUUUAGAAUGUUGGAAUAUAAUAUAAUAUACAACUUUCAGCAACGGAUCUCUUGGCUCUCGCAUCGAUGAAGAACGCAGCGAAAUGCGAUAAGUAAUGUGAAUUGCAGAAUUCAGUGAAUCAUCGAAUCUUUGAACGCAUCUUGCGCUCCUUGGUAUUCCGAGGAGCAUGCCUGUUUGAGUGUCAUCAAUCUCUCAACUACAUCAAUCUUUCUGGUUUGGUGUGGCUUUUGGAUGUGGGGGUCUUCUUUUGCUGGCUUCUAUUAAAUGAGGUCGGCUCCCCUGAAAUUUAUUAGUGGUAUCUGAGCAGAGAGACCUACUACAGGUGUGAUAAAUUAUCUACACCUUGGUAAUGCUGCAUGAACAGAUUGUGCUGCUUCCAGCGAAUUAUUUGACAAAUUUGACCUCAAAUCAGGUAGGACUACCCGCUGAACUUAAGCAUAUCAAUAAGCGGAGGAAAAGAAACUAACAAGGAUUCCCCUAGUAACUGCGAGUGAAGCGGGAAAAGCUCAAAUUUGAAAUCUGNCAGUUCUUUUGACUGUCCGAGUUGUAAUCUAGAGAAGUGUUACCUGUGCUGGACCGUGUACAAGUCUUCUGGAAUGGAGCAUCAUAGAGGGUGAGAAUCCCGUCUUUGACAUGGACUACCAGUGUGCUGUGGUGCGCUCUCAAAGAGUCGAGUUGUUUGGGAAUGCAGCUCAAAAUGGGUGGUAAAUGCCAUCUAAAGCUAAAUAUUGGCGAGAGACCGAUAGCGAACAAGUACCGUGAGGGAAAGAUGAAAAGAACUUUGGAAAGAGAGUUAAACAGUACGUGAAAUUGCUGAAAGGGAAACGCUUGAAGUCAGUCACGUUGGCUAGAAAUCAGCCUUGCUUUUGCUUGGUGUACUUUCUGGUUUGACGGGUCAGCAUCGAUUUCUUUGACCAUUGGAUAAAGUCUUUGGGAAUGUGGCAUCUUUUGAUGUGUUAUAGCCCAUUGUCGCAUAUAAUGGUUGGGAUCGAGGAACUCAGCACGCCGCAAGGCCGGGCAUAGACCACGCUCGUGCUUAGGAUGCUGGCAUAAUGGCUUUAAUCGACC
RNAcentral lists this ribosomal RNA (1309 nucleotides) under uncultured fungus. RNAcentral describes it as "eukaryotic LSU rRNA". The stretch from base 640 to 1309 matches the Rfam family "Eukaryotic large subunit ribosomal RNA", at positions 1 to 649 of the family's 3401-position model. Lineage: Eukaryota; Fungi. The record is from RNAcentral.